Molecule: ribosomal RNA, 253 nt
Filed under: uncultured bacterium
Lineage: Bacteria
Description: partial 16S ribosomal RNA
Rfam family: Bacterial small subunit ribosomal RNA
Source: RNAcentral
UACGUAGGGUGCAAGCGUUAUCCGGAAUUAUUGGGCGUAAAGAGCUCGUAGGCGGUUUGUCGCGUCUGUCGUGAAAGCUUGGGGCUUAACCCCAUGUCUGCGGUGGAUACGGGCAGACUAGAGGCAGGUAGGGGAGAACGGAAUUCCCGGUGUAGCGGUGAAAUGCGCAGAUAUCGGGAGGAACACCGGUGGCGAAGGCGGUUUUCUGGGCCUGUACUGACGCUGAGGAGCGAAAGCGUGGGGAGCGAACAGG